RNAcentral lists this ribosomal RNA (691 nucleotides) under uncultured Candidatus Tremblayella sp. Its description in RNAcentral is "bacterial SSU rRNA". It matches the Rfam family "Bacterial small subunit ribosomal RNA", at positions 674 to 1359 of the family's 1533-position model. Lineage: Bacteria; Pseudomonadati; Pseudomonadota; Betaproteobacteria. The record is from RNAcentral.
AGUAGCGGUGAAAUGCGUAGAUAUCUGGAGGAAUACCAAAGGCGAAGGCAGUCCCCUGGUCCGAUACUGACACUGAGGUACGAAAGCGUGGGGAGCAAACAGGAUUAGAUACCCUGGUAGUCCACGCCCUAAACGAUGUCGAUUAGCCAUUGGAAGGACCCCUUUUCCUUUCAGUGACGUAGCUAACGCGUUAAAUCGACCGCCUGGGAAGUACGACCGCAAGGUUAAAACUCAAAGGAAUUGACGGGGACCUGAACAAGCGGUGAAUGAUGUGGAUUAAUUCGAUGCUACGCGAAGAACCUUUACCUACCUUUGACAUGGCCAAAGUUCUACCGAGAGGCGGAAGUACUCGUAAGAGGAUUGGCGCACAGGUGCUGCAUGGUUGUCGUCAGUUCGUGUCGUGAGAUGUUGGGUUCAGUCCCGCAACGAACGCAACCCUUAUCUUUAAUUGCUCCUAUUUUAACAGGCACUUUAAAGAAACUGCCAAUGAUAAGUUGGAGGAAGGUGGGGAUCACGUCAAGUCCGCAUGGCCUUUAUAGGUAGGGCUUCACACGUCAUACAAUGGUUAGAACAAAGAGCUGCAAAUUCGUAAGAAGGAGCCAAUCUCACAAACCUAACCUCAGUUCGAAUUGCGGUCUGCAACUCGAGCGCAUGAAGCCGGAAUCGCUAGUAAUCGUGGAUCAGAAUGCCA